Molecule: ribosomal RNA, 442 nt
Filed under: uncultured bacterium
Lineage: Bacteria
Description: partial 16S ribosomal RNA
Rfam family: Bacterial small subunit ribosomal RNA
Source: RNAcentral
CCUACGGGUGGCAGCAGUGGGGAAUAUUGCGCAAUGGGCGAAAGCCUGACCCAGCAACGCCGCGUGAAGGAAGAAGGCUUUCGGGUUGUAAACUUCUUUUGACAGGGAAGAGCAGAAGACGGUACCUGUCGAAUAAGCCACGGCUAACUACGUGCCAGAGGCCGCGGUAAUACGUAGGUGGCAAGCGUUGUACGGAGUUACUGGGGGUAAAGGGCGUGUAGUCGGGCUGAGAAGUCAGAUGUGAAAUCCGGGGGCUCAACCCCCGAACUGCAUUUGACACUGGUUGUCUUGAGUAUCGGAGAGGCAGGCGGAAGUCCUAGUGUAGCGGUGAAAUGCGUAGAUAUUAGGAGGAACACCAGUGGCGAAGGCGGCCUGCUGGACGAAAACUGACGGUGAGGCGCGAAAGCGUGGGGAGCAAACAGGAUUAGAUACCCUUGUAGUC